This is a long non-coding RNA of Cyprinus carpio (common carp), 945 nucleotides long. The record is from Ensembl. NCBI's taxonomy places the organism in Eukaryota, Metazoa, Chordata, Actinopteri, Cypriniformes, Cyprinidae.
UCUAAAGAAUCAGUAUAUGUGACUCUAAUAUAUAGCGCAUGUUUCUGUAAUUGGCAUUUCUUUAAAAUGAAUGAGACAAAAAAGCACUUAAUUGCUUGAAGAAUGACCUGUUUAACCUUGUUUCAGAAAGCCUACACUAACGCAGCCUGCAUCCUGGGUCCUAUUCAUCUGGGAAAGAAGAGAGUUGUGAAGCUGUCGAGCACAUAGACAGUGAACACAGAGGGGAACAGGUCAAGGCCACAGCUAGGACAGAGGGAGAAAGAGGAGACUACAUUGGUUUCGAUGGGACUGUAUUCAGCUCUAUAUUAAGGCUGUGGGACUGAGCCGCUUUGGUGGAAAACAUUCAUUCCCGAGGGACCGACGUUACCAUGAUAUCCUACCUGGAACAAUGUGAUCGGCCACGGGGCUGCCUGGCUGCCACUCCGCCCCCGUCCAACCCUAGCCCUGGGAUUUCACCUCGUCCUUGAGAGACCAGCGCAAAUCAACCCAAAUAAAACAUCCCGACCCUGUUCACCUCUCCCGGAGGGUCGUUUUCCUUCGCGACACGUGGACGAAGCCGUACACAGCAUUAGGGACCGAAGAGACGCAGCCUCUAUAGAGGGACUCAGACAGGGUGGGAGGAGAUCCCAGCAGGUAAAAGGACCCACCGCAGGUCACGACCACAAACAGCAUAUCAGCUGGCUAUUUCUGAACAGGCCAUUGUGCCUGAUUUCUGUCCACACAGACACACACACAAACACACACACACACGUGUCCUUUACACCUGGUUGUACUGUAGGUCCUGCUUAACGCUGUUGUAGUGCCAAUGGGAAUUUACAGUACAUACAAAAUACAAAAAAAAAAUCAGGAAGGUUUAUGUGAGGGUUAUAUUUAGGGUUAGAGGAUUGUUUUUAUUUGCCAUUAUUUUUAUGACCUGACCCUGAAUAAAGGUCACGUCAGCACACA